CAUGCUACAGCCAAUGUAUUUUAAGAACAGAACCAGAUCAAUUUGCUCUCUUGCUUAAAAAUCUUCAGGUUUCCUGUUGUACUUAAAAUAAAAUCCAAGUUGUAACCUCAGUUUAUAGAGUCCCACACAGCCUGCUCCUUCCCGGACUCUUCAGCUUCUGAUCCUGCCGCCCUCCCUCCUCACUGGUUUGCUUGCUCCUUCUCUCAAACCCAGGAUCGUAUCCUCCCCAGGACCUGCACUAACCAUUCCCGCUGCCCGGACUGCUCUUCCCUAGUCUUCACGUGGCUGGUAUAGACGAUCACUCAGGUCCAGGUGGAGGUCUCCUCCUCCAAGUGGUCAUCCAUUCUAAGCUUUCAGGUAGAUGACGAAGCGGGACCUCCUGCUGCUGGCGGGGAUCAGCCCAGGGCCCCGGACUGUGUACCAUCAGCUCUCGGCAGACCCGGCCUGGCCCGUCACCGCCUCCCGGCCAGGCCUGGAGAAAGGACAACACAGAUCAUGCCCCUCUCCUUUGGGGGACGAGGCUACAGAGGGGAAGCCUGUUGAGACUGGCUUUCCAAAGCCUUCAUGACAUGAAAGUGUAAAGAAAAAAAAAAAAAAAAAAAACACUGCUUCUA
Molecule: long non-coding RNA, 614 nt
Organism: Canis lupus familiaris (dog)
Lineage: Eukaryota; Metazoa; Chordata; Mammalia; Carnivora; Canidae
Exons: 2
Source: RefSeq, a predicted model, not a curated record